AUGCUCUCUCAAUUCAACAUGCCAUGCCUUGACAGACAAAACGAAAUACAAAAUAUAACAUUUAUACUUACAAUUUUGCAAUGCAGUGUGCUUCAUCAAUGAAAAUUGCCAUCAAAAUCUUCUCUUUAGUCAGGCUGUGUUCCAAGAACUGUCUCUGGACUUGCAAAUAUUAUUAUGUCAGUGUCAGGGUGAAAAAACCGUCACAGUAGCAUGGUUGGAGUUAUUAAGUUUCUUAAACACGAAUGGUGCUAAUUCAAAAGUAAGUGAUUUUCCUGAUCCUGUUGGAGAAAAAAAAGGACAUCCUUUCCUCUGAGGUAACUUACAAUCACUUGUCUUUGAUGAUUCCUGAAGUGAUCAAUUAUGUAACUGCAUUACCUUCCAUACCAACAGUUAUACAUGUAGUUAAGUUAAAUAGAGGGCGUAUAUACUUAAAACACAACAUCAAUCCUUUGUUCCGUUCAGCAGUGUGUCAGAUUCGUGAUGGCUAGCUUGAGGUGGCUAGACUUGCUUUUUGUAUGCAUUACUAGAUUCUUUUUUUAAAUGAAAUAAAUAUAUUCCACGGUCAUUGGUGCAGGACUAAUUGUGUAUAUCACCUGAAUUUUGGUCAAUACCUGAAAUACUCAGUCGCCAAUACAGCCCCUAUUUCAUAUAAGGUUAUGAAAAUACAUGUCGGUUGGAGCCUGAAGCCUGAAGUAGAAUUUAGGUUAUUACACGGAUGAUAUACAUGUAAGGCCGAAAAUUGAUGAACUUCUUUAUUAUGAAGAACACAAUGUUUGGGACUAAUAUCAUUAGUUGAAGGAGUAAGUAUUACACCCAAACGUUCUGUUCCACACAAUGCGUUUCACUUCUGAAUGUUUUUCUAAGAGUUGAUACAUACACUUGCCUUGUAUAUAUGGUUGAUGCACGUCGAGUGUCUCAGAAACGCGGGAUCUGCAGGUAUUAGAGCUGAAUACAGUUGUGAUUUGACGAAUUCUUUUUCUUUUGACUCUUCCUCUUAUUUCGUUUUUCAGCUUAGCAUUGUGUAUACACAACGUAAUUAACGGAUUCUGACAUCAGCCACAUAUCUCGGACCACCCCACGAGUCUCUCUUAACCGUUCAAUUAACGUUCCGCUUGGUGUUGCCACACCUGUCCGCCAUCUGCUGUUGAGAUACUGUAACGGUUCUCGUCUGAAAAGAGGACUUCUCCCACUGCUGGUGCUGUGCUACCCACUGAAGACGGUCCAGGAAACAAAGAAGAAGACUGAAAGGAUACCACUGGGAGUGCUUCAGUGAGGACCUCAGUGACCGUUCUCCAUCACAGUAGGUGCUCAGCGGAGGGGACUACCUCACCCUUGAGAGGCAGAAACAAGCCAAUCAUGCACUUACGAGAUGGACCUACACCAAGUUCCAGAUUACAAGGACUUGUUCCAAAGAUGGAAGAGUUCCAUAACGAAGCUGAAUUUCUAAAGGUUAUAUGGAAACACUUGUACUCGUCCUCCUCUAACAAGUCUGUUUGGCACUCUGCAUGCUGCAAAGGAGCACAAUAAAUGCGGUGAAUGUUACUCAGGAUCCUCAUGACAACUUUUACCCAUGCUCUGAAUUCAUGGACAAGGUCACCACCGCCUACAUCGUAACUCGGGGACUACAUUACUUCCAAAUGGAACACCUCACUUCUGUCCCAACGUCAAGUUACAUGGGUGCUGUUGGCAAUCCAUAUAAAAUGAUUGAUUAUUUUCUAGGUCAUGCAGCAAAACAGUUUGUAGACAAGCACGUCUUACCGGAGGUUCCUCAACAGCCAGGUCAUGGUCUCCAAAUCAAACACACUAGCCUGCAGGUACUGUGGAAAACUGUACCAGAGACCAAAAGCUCUCCGCAAACACGAAGCAUCCGGAAUAUAAUGCUGAAAACAAUCAGGAUUCCACAUCUUCAGCAGAAUCAAGAUCAUCUAUUUAUCAGUACACCCGUCUGUCUCUCAUGCUUGGGCUUCUUCGAAUAAAUCACAACGAUUCCAUUCACAUGGGAGAUGGUGGCAGGCAUGAUGAGACUAGUAAAGUGGUUCUGUUUAUACUACAAGGCAAGCAAAUGUCCAAAGUAUGCAUAUGGUCUCCUUUGAAACACAGGCAAAGGCAUAUGCUCUCCUAUAUGAACGGCAGGCUUUAUAGAUUGAUAUGGAACCGCACAGUCAACCAUCAAGGCAGAGAAGACACCAAUCAUCCCAUCGACCUUGACUUGGAGCAUUGCAACAGGGCUUUCAAAGAUGAUGUACACACAUACAAGGGGAGGUACACAGAUAAAAGACGAUUCUCAAAGUCAGCAGAAGUGCGCUGUCAAUGGAAGAAUUAUGCCAAAAAUACGACAAAUUGGCAUUCCGCAAGAAAUGUUCGGGAAGGCAUGGAGUUGUUGAUCCUUCUUGGUGAUAUUCUUAAACUUGUAGAACAAUUCCAUUCCUAUGCAGCUCAAUUCAAUGAGGCCAACAAGCCACUGCCACAGAGAAAUCAAAAACAUGCUGAGUGACAUCCAAAAUUGGAUUUCAGAAAGUCUUAAAGUCUUCAGUAGCCGCACAUACUAUAACAUCUGAACCUUUUUUCCCGAUGUGUAAUUCAGUGUCACAUGAUUAAAACGAGACCCUGUUGCAAAGUCGCUAUCACUGUAUGUUUCAUGAUCUUCAUGUUCUGAGUCUGAGUGAGAUGAUGAGCUAUCACUCGAGUCAAGGGAAGUUUUGUACAACUCAAGAAUAUCACAUCUACAUUCACUACAUGGGGUAAUUGCAUGUCCAUGAGUCUCUGCAGUCACAGAGACACUUGCAAGAUAUGGCACAGUUGUCCAUAGCACUCAUGACUUCAGUAAAGCUCAACUCGUCGACAUACGUUGGUUCUGACAUACUGUUUCAUUUCAUCCGAAAUAUUCCGCCUGCCACUGAGACAUCGUCUAAAUUUCAUGAGAAGAGCAUGUGCCUGCUUUUCUGGAUCCCUGCCUGCUCCGUCCUUGUCUCUUGAAUAUAAUCCUCAACAUUAUUGGCUGGACCAUAGUGGAUGACGGUUUCCACACUUUCUUAGCAUUGUGUAUACACAACGUAAUUAACGGAUUCUGACAUCAGCCACAUAUCUCGGACCACCCCACGAGUCUCUCUUAACCGUUCAAUUAACGUUCCGCUUGGUGUUGCCACACCUGUCCGCCAUCUGCUGUUGAGAUACUGUAACGGUUCUCGUCUGAAAAGAGGACUUCCCCCACUGCUGGUGCUGUGCUACCCACUGAAGACGGUCCAGGAAACAAAGAAGAAGACUGAAAGGAUACCACUGGGAGUGCUUCAGUGAGGACCUCAGUGACCGUUCUCCAUCACAGUAGGUGCUCAGCGGAGGGGACUACCUCACCCUUGAGAGGCAGAAACAAGCCAAUCAUGCACUUACGAGAUGGACCUACACCAAGUUCCAGAUUACAAGGACUUGUUCCAAAGAUGGAAGAGUUCCAUAACGAAGCUGAAUUUCUAAAGGUUAUAUGGAAACACUUGUACUCGUCCUCCUCUAACAAGUCUGUUUGGCACUCUGCAUGCUGCAAAGGAGCACAAUAAAUGCGGUGAAUGUUACUCAGGAUCCUCAUGACAACUUUUACCCAUGCUCUGAAUUCAUGGACAAGGUCACCACCGCCUACAUCGUAACUGGGGGACUACAUUACUUCCAAAUGGAACACCUCACUUCUGUCCCAACGUCAAGUUACAUGGGUGCUGUUGGCAAUCCAUAUAAAAUGAUUGAUUAUUUUCUAGGUCAUGCAGCAAAACAGUUUGUAGACAAGCACGUCUUACCGGAGGUUCCUCAACAGCCAGGUCAUGGUCUCCAAAUCAAACACACUAGCCUGCAGGUACUGUGGAAAACUGUACCAGAGACCAAAAGCUCUCCGCAAACACGAAGCAUCCGGAAUAUAAUGCUGAAAACAAUCAGGAUUCCACAUCUUCAGCAGAAUCAAGAUCAUCUAUUUAUCAGUACACCCGUCUGUCUCUCAUGCUUGGGCUUCUUCGAAUAAAUCACAACGAUUCCAUUCACAUGGGAGAUGGUGGCAGGCAUGAUGAGACUAGUAAAGUGGUUCUGUUUAUACUACAAGGCAAGCAAAUGUCCAAAGUAUGCAUAUGGUCUCCUUUGAAACACAGGCAAAGGCAUAUGCUCUCCUAUAUGAACGGCAGGCUUUAUAGAUUGAUAUGGAACCGCACAGUCAACCAUCAAGGCAGAGAAGACACCAAUCAUCCCAUCGACCUUGACUUGGAGCAUUGCAACAGGGCUUUCAAAGAUGAUGUACACACAUACAAGGGGAGGUACACAGAUAAAAGACGAUUCUCAAAGUCAGCAGAAGUGCGCUGUCAAUGGAAGAAUUAUGCCAAAAAUACGACAAAUUGGCAUUCCGCAAGAAAUGUUCGGGAAGGCAUGGAGUUGUUGAUCCUUCUUGGUGAUAUUCUUAAACUUGUAGAACAAUUCCAUUCCUAUGCAGCUCUAUUCAAUGAGGCCAACAAGCCACUGCCACAGAGAAAUCAAAAACAUGCUGAGUGACAUCCAAAAUUGGAUUUCAGAAAGUCUUAAAGUCUUCAGUAGCCGCACAUACUAUAACAUCUGAACCUUUUUUCCCGAUGUGUAAUUCAGUGUCACAUGAUUAAAACGAGACCCUGUUGCAAAGUCGCUAUCACUGUAUGUUUCAUGAUCUUCAUGUUCUGAGUCUGAGUGAGAUGAUGAGCUAUCACUCGAGUCAAGGGAAGUUUUGUACAACUCAAGAAUAUCACAUCUACAUUCACUACAUGGGGUAAUUGCAUGUCCAUGAGUCUCUGCAGUCACAGAGACACUUGCAAGAUAUGGCACAGUUGUCCAUAGCACUCAUGACUUCAGUAAAGCUCAACUCGUCGACAUACGUUGGUUCUGACAUACUGUUUCAUUUCAUCCGAAAUAUUCCGCCUGCCACUGAGACAUCGUCUAAAUUUCAUGAGAAGAGCAUGUGCCUGCUUUUCUGGAUCCCUGCCUGCUCCGUCCUUGUCUCUUGAAUAUAAUCCUCAACAUUAUUGGCUGGACCAUAGUGGAUGACGGUUUCCACACUUUCUUAGCAUUGUGUAUACACAACGUAAUUAACGGAUUCUGACAUCAGCCACAUAUCUCGGACCACCCCACGAGUCUCUCUUAACCGUUCAAUUAACGUUCCGCUUGGUGUUGCCACACCUGUCCGCCAUCUGCUGUUGAGAUACUGUAACGGUUCUCGUCUGAAAAGAGGACUUCUCCCACUGCUGGUGCUGUGCUACCCACUGAAGACGGUCCAGGAAACAAAGAAGAAGACUGAAAGGAUACCACUGGGAGUGCUUCAGUGAGGACCUCAGUGACCGUUCUCCAUCACAGUAGGUGCUCAGCGGAGGGGACUACCUCACCCUUGAGAGGCAGAAACAAGCCAAUCAUGCACUUACGAGAUGGACCUACACCAAGUUCCAGAUUACAAGGACUUGUUCCAAAGAUGGAAGAGUUCCAUAACGAAGCUGAAUUUCUAAAGGUUAUAUGGAAACACUUGUACUCGUCCUCCUCUAACAAGUCUGUUUGGCACUCUGCAUGCUGCAAAGGAGCACAAUAAAUGCGGUGAAUGUUACUCAGGAUCCUCAUGACAACUUUUACCCAUGCUCUGAAUUCAUGGACAAGGUCACCACCGCCUACAUCGUAACUCGGGGACUACAUUACUUCCAAAUGGAACACCUCACUUCUGUCCCAACGUCAAGUUACAUGGGUGCUGUUGGCAAUCCAUAUAAAAUGAUUGAUUAUUUUCUAGGUCAUGCAGCAAAACAGUUUGUAGACAAGCACGUCUUACCGGAGGUUCCUCAACAGCCAGGUCAUGGUCUCCAAAUCAAACACACUAGCCUGCAGGUACUGUGGAAAACUGUACCAGAGACCAAAAGCUCUCCGCAAAC
RNAcentral lists this long non-coding RNA (5900 nucleotides) under Haliotis rufescens (red abalone). Its description in RNAcentral is "uncharacterized LOC125378536, transcript variant X1". The record is from RNAcentral. Lineage: Eukaryota; Metazoa; Mollusca; Gastropoda; Lepetellida; Haliotidae.